GCGGUGAAAUGCUUAGAGAUUACAUGGAAUACCAAUUGCGAAGGCAGGUUGCUACCAAUGGAUUGACGCUGAUGGACGAAAGCGUGGGUAGCGAACAGGAUUAGAUACCCUGGUAGUCCACGCCGUAAACGAUGGAUACUAGCUGUUGGGCGCAAGUUCAGUGGCUAAGCGAAAGUGAUAAGUUCCCACCU
This 191-nucleotide ribosomal RNA is filed under the name uncultured Flavobacterium sp. RNAcentral describes it as "partial 16S ribosomal RNA". It matches the Rfam family "Bacterial small subunit ribosomal RNA", at positions 678 to 874 of the family's 1533-position model. Lineage: Bacteria; Pseudomonadati; Bacteroidota; Flavobacteriia; Flavobacteriales; Flavobacteriaceae. The record is from RNAcentral.